This 833-nucleotide ribosomal RNA is filed under the name Leia bilineata. RNAcentral describes it as "SSU rRNA". It matches the Rfam family "Eukaryotic small subunit ribosomal RNA", at positions 490 to 1250 of the family's 1831-position model. The record is from RNAcentral. Lineage: Eukaryota; Metazoa; Arthropoda; Insecta; Diptera; Mycetophilidae.
UCACAUCCGAGGCCUUGUAAUUGGAAUGAGUACACUUUAAAUCCUUUAACAAGGAUCAAUUGGAGGGCAAGUCUGGUGCCAGCAGCCGCGGUAAUUCCAGCUCCAAUAGCGUAUAUUAAAGUUGUUGCGGUUAAAACGUUCGUAGUUGAACUUGUGCUUCGCACGGGCAAUACCAAGAAUCAUGUACUUGGUUCGGUAUCUUGUCUUAUCUUCAUUUAUUUUCGAUAUGAAAAGUGCGUGAGCGUAUUAUCGGCGUGUUUUCUCUUGGAAAUUUCACAUAAGCUUGCUUCAGUGCUCUUAAACAAGUGCAGUUGUAAGCCGAUACAAAUUACUUUGAACAAAUUAGAGUGCUUAAAGCAGGCUUGUAAUGCCUGAAUAUUUUGUGCAUGGAAUAAUGAAAUAGGACAUCUGUUCUACUUUCAUUGGUUUUUUAGACCAAGAUGUAAUGAUUAAUGGAAGCAGUUGGGGGCAUUAGUAUUACAACGCGAGAGGUGAAAUUCUUAGACCGUUGUAAGACUGACUAAAGCGAAAGCAUUUGCCAAAGAUGUUUUCUUUUAAUCAAGAACGAAAGUUAGAGGUUCGAAGGCGAUCAGAUACCGCCCUAGUUCUAACCAUAAACGAUGCCAGCUAGCAAUUGAGUGUAGCUACUACUAUGGCUCUUUCAGUCGCUUCUCGGGAAACCAAAGCUUUUGGGUUCCGGGGGAAGUAUGGUUGCAAAGCUGAAACUUAAAGGAAUUGACGGAAGGGCACCACCAGGAGUGGAGCCUGCGGCUUAAUUUGACUCAACACGGGAAAACUUACCAGGUCCGAACAUAAAUGAGUAAGACAGAUUG